This 723-nucleotide ribosomal RNA is filed under the name uncultured archaeon. Its description in RNAcentral is "bacterial SSU rRNA". It matches the Rfam family "Archaeal small subunit ribosomal RNA", at positions 1 to 682 of the family's 1478-position model. The record is from RNAcentral.
GUGCUCCCCCGCCAAUUCCUUUAAGUUUCUCCGGUUGAUCCUGCCGGACCCGACUGCUAUUUGGGUGAGGAUAAGCCAUGCGAGUCAAAUGGGAUACCUAAAUUUCCCAUGGCGAACUGCUCAGUAACACAUGAUCAACUUACCCUAUUGAGAAAGAUAACCUCGGGAAACUAAGGAUAAUAUUUCAUAAUUGAAUUGGCUUGGAAAAGUUUUUCAAUAAAAGGGAUAGGGAAAAUGGUCUCUAUCCGCUAUAGGAUAGGAUCGUGUUCUAUUAUGGUAGUUGGUGAGGUAAAGGCUCACCAAGCCGAUAAUCGAUAGGGGCCGUGAGAGCGGGAGCCCCGAGAUGGGCACUGAGACAACGACCCAGGCCUUACGAGGCGCAGCAGGUACGAAACCUCCACAAUACACGAAAGUGUGAUGGGGUUACCCAAAGUGUUCAUUAUUGAACUGUGGUAGGAGAGUAAUGUCCCCUACUAGAAAGGAGAGGGCAAGGCUGGUGCCAGCCGCCGCGGUAAAACCAGCUCUUCAAGUGGUCGGGAUAAUUAUUGGGCUUAAAGUGUCCGUAGCCGGUUUAGUAAGUUCCUGGUAAAAUCGGGUAGCUUAACUAUCUGUAUGCUAGGAAUACUGCUAUACUAGAGGGCGGGAGAGGUCUGAGGUACUACAGGGGUAGGGGUGAAAUCUUAUAAUCCUUGUAGGACCACCAGUGGCGAAGGCGUCAGACUG